UUGAUGUGUAGGAUAGGUGGGAGGCUUUGAAGUGUGGACGCCAGUCUGCAUGGAGCCGACCUUGAAAUACCACCCUUUAAUGUUUGAUGUUCUAACGUGGACCCGUAAUCCGGGUUGCGGACAGUGUCUGGUGGGUAGUUUGACUGGGGCGGUCUCCUCCUAAAGAGUAACGGAGGAGCACGAAGGUUGGCUAAUCCUGGUCGGACAUCA
RNAcentral lists this ribosomal RNA (210 nucleotides) under Escherichia coli. Its description in RNAcentral is "partial 23S ribosomal RNA". It matches the Rfam family "Bacterial large subunit ribosomal RNA", at positions 2131 to 2340 of the family's 2925-position model. The record is from RNAcentral. Lineage: Bacteria; Pseudomonadati; Pseudomonadota; Gammaproteobacteria; Enterobacterales; Enterobacteriaceae.